UAGGGAAUCUUCGGCAAUGGGGGGAACCCUGACCGAGCAACGCCGCGUGAGUGAAGAAGGUUUUCGGAUCGUAAAGCUCUGUUGUUAAGGAAGAACGAGUGUGAGAAUGGAAAGUUCAUACUGUGACGGUACUUAACCAGAAAGGGACGGCUAACUACGUGCCAGCAGCCGCGGUAAUACGUAGGUCCCGAGCGUUGUCCGGAUUUAUUGGGCGUAAAGCGAGCGCAGGCGGUUAGAUAAGUCUGAAGUUAAAGGCAGUGGCUCAACCAUUGUAGGCUUUGGAAACUGUUUAACUUGAGUGCAGAAGGGGAGAGUGGAAUUCCUAGUGUAGCGGUGAAAUGCGCAGAUAUUAGGAGGAAUACCGGUGGCGAAGGCGACUUUCUGGCCAUAAUCUGACGCUGAGGCUCGAAAGCGUGGGGAGCGAACAGG
RNAcentral lists this ribosomal RNA (429 nucleotides) under Bacteroidota bacterium. RNAcentral describes it as "Bacteroidetes bacterium partial 16S ribosomal RNA". It matches the Rfam family "Bacterial small subunit ribosomal RNA", at positions 355 to 776 of the family's 1533-position model. Lineage: Bacteria; Pseudomonadati; Bacteroidota. The record is from RNAcentral.